UUUGUGAUGCUUUAUUUAUGUAUAUACUUAAAGUUCAAAUGUGAUGUAUGCUUUACUCCUUAUUUGAUACUUGCAUUUGUCGCAAGCACCUUGCUGUUCUGAGUAAUGGUUGAUAUCUUACAUUUAGCCGAGAAGCUGAAAACUUACGAGUUGGAAAACCUUCUAGAUAUACCUAAAAAGACCUUGAAGAUAUCUUCUACUAGACUGGACGAGCUGAUUGACUGGCGAUGGAGAUGCAGCAGUGACCUGCAAUUCUUUCUGCUCUGGAUGGUUCAUUUUGAUAUCUUUUUUAUAUCUGACAAGACACAAGAAAACAACAUAUCUAUCCUAUUAUAUUUACCACUAUCAUCUACAGUGAGUGCUAAGUUGCCCAUAAAUUUUAGUUGACUUCUGUUCAGAGUGAUCUGAAAAAUAGAUAGCAAAAAAGAUUAGUGGGUAUUACAUUUAGAUUAGCUACAUUUGGGCAAAUAAAUGAGUAGAAGUCAAUUUUGUUUGCUUGAUGUUUCACUUCUUUGAUCUCUUCAUCAUUCUCAUUUUGUUUCAUUGCUUACCAUUUGUUCGAAAUUUUUUCUAGCAGUGGCAAGCAUGGUUAGGGCGAGCAACGAGGGUUCCUGUAGUGCAUAACCAUUUCAAGUCGCCCAAGUUCUAAAGAGAGAUCAGAAGUGCCAGCUACUGAAGCAAAAAAAAGGACCUGAUACACAUUGUAAUCAUGGACUGCUGAUAUACCUGAUGCAUUUCUUCAUGAUGGUCGAUUUCCUUUCACCGGAUCUUACAUGUUUAAUUAUGUGUGCUCAGAACCAAAAACUGAUUGAGAUCUUCAGUUCUUACUUGCAGAUGUUCUGUUAUUCAGAGUAAUUCAGUUUCCAGUCUCUGUGUAUUAAUCAAAUUAUGGGUUAUUUUCAACCAUAUAGGCUUUUAUUAUAUGUUCAGUUAUGCUUCCAUGGGUUUUGCAUAUGUAUUAACAAAACAACCAGACUGCUAUUAUGUAUAUACUUGGAUCAAAGGGUGUACAAUUAAUUUGCUCUUACGAAAGGAAUGAGUAGGCAGCUAGCAGAAUGGGAGGACAAUCAUGACAAGCGAACGAACACAUAAAUAGUAAUCCCACAAUUUUUACAACUGCAUUCCACUUUAAUUUGGUAUGGACAUGCAUUUUUAUCCUUGGAGUACUUUGGAUUUUAAGUGGGAAUCAUUGGUUCUUUUCUUCUUAAUAUUUUACUUCUUAUAAUUACAAAUACCAAUUUUAGAGAAUUGAGCUCGUACUUAAAAUUCAAUUGAGUAUGAAGCAACUGCCCAUUGUGUGAAAGAAACAAUUAUAACAUUGUACUCUAACAAAUCACACAUAUAGAGAAAUGUUAUUUUCGAGUCUCCUUAACCUACUGAUCUUUUUUUAGAUAUAUGAAACUUGCAUUUGUUUUCUUAAUUCUUUUGCAAUGCAGGUGAUAUUCCUUGGUUGCAGCUGACGCUAAAAAAAAUUACUCCUGAAGCACUAGAAGUGCCCUCUCUAUGGCGCAUCACUCACUGGAUCCAGAUGGGCAACAUUCCGCUUCAAGAUUAAAGAGUACAGUUUUUGCAUGCUAUCAUUGCUUAUCCAAGAGUAAUCUACCAUGUGCCUAAUUGUUAUGACCGGCCAGGUCUAUGGCCGCCGCAGGCCCAACAGGCAGGCGUAGGCCAGCAAGUUACCUUAGUUUUAUUCAGAUUAGGCAAGUUAUCUCAGGAUUGAUUCUUCUACAAGUUAUCUAGGAUAUAAAUAUAGAUUGUAAGACUCUUUUGGAUGGAAGCAAUAAAGACUAUUAUUAUCUUUUGUUGCCCGGCUCCUAGAGGAGCCGGAAACCCUAGCCGCCGCAACCUAGCCGCCACCGCCCUCAACCCUAGCCGCGACGGCGCCCUGCUGCCGGCACGCCCGCUCCUCGCCGCGCCCACUUCCUCUUUGCCCCUACAACCUACGCAGUAGAGCCGGUAGGAACCCUAGUCCUACCAAUUUGGUAUUCAGAGACCACGUUGUGAUCAUGUCGAUGCCGCCAUCACCGCCGCCGCUGCCCGUCGGCACCACUACGCCCAUGACGACGGCGCCAAGCAUCACCGCGCCGACCACAUCCGCCGGGACCUCGCUGGCGUGUCCCGUCUCCUCCUCGGCACCACCAGCACCGGCGUCUCCGGGCGCAUCUCCACCACCACCGCUGGCCGCCUUGUCUCCGGAGCAACUCGCCGCCACGCUACAUCACCUCGUCACCGUCGUCCACUGGCUUCAGCUCCACCAGCAAUAUGGGGCCGGGGCCUAUGCUCAACCGCCAUCGGCCCCGAUCGCCGCCCCUGGUCUUCUCCUACAGCAGCAGCCGCAGUACGGGGGCGGGGCGAGCCCCUUCGCGCCACCACCAGGACCGUACCAGGGCGCGGCCGCGUACGGCGGGCCCCUGUUCGGGCCGAUCCAGGCGAGAUUGGCAUCCGGGCCAGCACCGGCCGCGACGCCCCUCUGGCCUUUGCCGCCGGCCACCUCGGCCGCCUCCUAGCUGCAGCAGCUGCCGCCCACCGUCUGGCCGGUUCAGCAGAUGCCGUUCCCCGCAUGGCCGGCCCAGCAGCCGCCGCCGACGGCGUCCCAGGGCCUGCGUCCACCGCCAUUCUCCACGCCCUCAUCAGCCGGGACCACCUCGGGCGCGGCCUCGACUAUCGGGUUACCGAUCCAUCAGGUCCAGUUUCCCCCGUCCCCGUCCCCCCUGCCAGCAUGGGCGGCGGGGUCUUCGCCUUCAUCGGUCUACUCCACGACCCCGGUUGAGCCGACUCCGUUUUCGCAGUUCGGCGGGCCAUCCGGCCCCGCCGGCCAGUACCCGGACUACUCCGAUCAGGCACCUCCGGCUUCACUCUUCCGAGCCCCCGCGCCUGCUCAGCACGGCGGGCCGCAGCAGACACCGCCGCUGUUCACCAAACUCGACUUCGCCACCUACGAGGGCACGGAGGACCCCCUCAACUGGCUCAACCAGUGCGAACAGUUCUUUCGAGGGCAGCGGACGCUCGCUUCUGAUCGUACCUGGCUCGCGUCCUAUCAUCUUCGAGGCGCAGCACAGACCUGGUACUACGCCCUCAAGCAGGACGAGGGCGGCAUGCCACCAUGGGAGCGCUUCCAGGAGCUCUGUCUUCUCCGUUUUGGGCCUCCUAUCCGCGGGAGCCGACUGGCGGCCCUCGGCCGUUUACCAUUCACAUGUACGGUGCAGGACUACGCCGAUCGCUUCCAGGCCCUGGCAUGCCACGCGCCGGGCGUCUCCGCGACCCAGCGCGCCGAGCUCUUUGUGGGCGGUCUGCCGGACCAUAUCCGCGUGGACGUCGAGCUCCGGGAUCCCCCCGAUCUCCAGACGGCCAUGUACUACGCCCGGGCCUUCGAGCAGCUGGCCCAGGCACUGCAGCCGCCACUCGGACGGAGUGGCCGCCAGCCCAGUCGGCCAGCACCGACUUCCUCAGCCCCGGGUCGGCCUCUCCCAUCCGCGACGGCCACAUCCCCGGCUGCCACACGGCCCUUCCGUCGGCUGUCACCGGCCGAGCAGCAGGAGCGUCGCAGUCAGGGUCUCUGCUUCAACUGCGAUGGGCCCUAUACGCCGACCCAUGUCUGCCCCCGCCUCUUUUAUUUAGAGACGGUCGACUACACCGAGGAGAACGACUCGCCCGAUCCGUUACAUCCGCCUGCGGCGCCCGAGGACGCGGCCGCGGAUUCCGCAGCGACGGCGUGCGUCGUCUCCCUUCAUGCCCUGGCCGGCAUCCGGGGCGAGCAGACCAUGCUGCUGCCGGUGACGAUCCAUGGCGAGCGCCUGGUGGCCCUGCUAGAUACGGGCUCCACACACAACUUUCUGCCCGAAUCGACCAUGCGUCGGCUAGCCCUCCCGACGAUGGGCGGGGAGCGCCUGCGGAUCACAGUGGCGAACAGUGAUCGCCUCCGGUGCCAUGGGCUAGCCCGCGAUGUUCCCAUCUCCAUCAGCGACGAACACUUUUCCAUCACUUGUGCAGGGAUCGAUCUCGGCUGCUUCGACUUCAUCCUCGGGGUGGACUUUCUCCGGACCCUCGGCCCCAUCCUAUGGGAUUUCGACGCACUCAUGAUGACAUUCUGGCGACAGGGACGCCGCAUCCGGUGGGAGGGCAUUGGGGGCACCGCGGCUGCCGUGCCACAUCUCCAGCUGGCUGCCGCGUCCUCGGAGGUUGAGCACCCCCUACUGGAUUCUCUUCUAGAGCAGCACAACAACCUCUUCGACGCUCCGCGGGGUCUUCCGCCUGCCCGGGUGUACGACCAUCAUAUUCACCUCGUACCAGGCUCCACUCCGGUGGCGGUACGGCCCUACCGCUACCCCCAGCUGCAGAAGGAUGAGUUGGAGCGCCAGUGUGCCCUGAUGCUCGCCGCAGGCAUCAUCCGGAUCUCCACGUCACCCUUCACGGCGCCGGUGCUUCUCGUCCGUAAGUCCGACGGCACAUGCCGCUUCUGCAUCGACUACCGCGCCCUCAACGCACUCACGCUCAAGGACAAGUUCCCUAUACCGGUGGUCGACGAGCUCUUGGAUGAGAUCCAUGGGGCACGCUUCUUCACCAAGCUCGAUCUUCGGUCGGGCUAUCAUCAGGUGCGCAUGCAUCCGGACGACAUCGCCAAGACGGCGUUUCGCACCCACCAUGGCCACUUCGAGUUCUUGGUGAUGCCUUUCGGCCUCGCCAACGCCCCGGCGACUUUCCAAGCCCUGAUGAACGACGUCCUUCGACCCUACUUACGGCGAUUUGUGCUUGUUUUCUUUGAUGACAUUCUUAUCUACAGCGCCACCUGGGCCAAACAUCUCCAGCACGUCGCCAUCGUCUUCAACGAGUUUCGGGCGCACCACCUCCACCUUAAGCGCUCAAAGUGCUCGUUCGGGACACCUACCGUCGCCUACCUCGGCCAUGUCAUCUCGGCCGACGGAGUGGCUAUGGACGCUGAUAAGGUGGCGGCCGUCUCCGCCUGGCCGACGCCUUACUCACCGCGGGCUCUCCGCGGGUUCCUCGGACUCGCUGGCUACUACCGGAAAUUUAUCCGGGAGUUCGGACUCAUCGCGGCGCCCCUCGCGCGGUUGCUUCGCCGCGAUGCCUUCGCCUGGGACGCUGAGGCGACGACGGCAUUCGAGGCCCUCAAGGGGGACCUCACGACGGGCCCCGUCCUCCAGAUGCCCGACUUCGACCGUCCGUUCGUGGUGGACUGUGACGCCUCGGGCGCCGGGUUCAGCGCAUUACUUCAUCAGGGCGAUGGGCCCCUCGCCUUCUUCAGCCGGCCUUUCGCUCCGCGCCAUCUUAAGUUGGCCGCUUACGAGCGGGAGCUCAUUGGCCUCGUCCAGGCCGUGCGUCAUUGGCGGCCAUACUUGUGGGGGCGGACCUUCCACAUUCGCACGGACCACUACAGCCUGAAGUUCUUGCUGGAUCAACGGCUGUCGACCGUACCGCAGCACCAGUGGAUCAGCAAGCUCUUCGGCUUCGACUUCUUCGUCGAGUAUCGGUCGGGCCGUCUUAACACCGUGGCCGACGCGCUAUCCCGUCGCGAUUCCGACCUCGCGCCAACCGCCGACGCGUCCGCCGGGACGGCCCUGUGCAUCCGCUUCAGGCCAUCGUUCGGUCUCUUCACCGACAUUCGACGCGCCACUGCGACGGCCGAUGACGCCGCACUUCUUCAGCAGCAGCUUGCGGUCAGCGACUUGGAGGAGCCCUGGCGCUUCUCUGACGGACUGCUCCUGCAUGGACACCGGAUCUUUGUUCCGGCGCAUGAUGAUCUCCGUCACCAGGUGUUGCAGCUCGCUCACUCGGCGGGCCAUGAGGGUGUGCAGAAAACCCUCCAUCGUCUUCGCGCCGACUUCUACGUCCUUGGCGAUCGUGCCCUGGUCCGCGACUGGGUUCGGUCUUGUCAGACUUGCCAGCGCAACAAGACAGAAACCCUGAGACCGGCGGGGCUCCUUCAGCCCUUGGAGGUGUCGUCUCAGGUUUGGGCGGAUAUCUCCUUGGACUUCAUCGAGGGCCUUCCCAAGGUAGGGGGCAAGUCAGUCAUCCUCACGGUGGUCGAUCGCUUCUCUAAGUAUGCCCACUUCAUCGCGUUGGGCCAUCCAUACACAGCGGCAUCCGUGGCCCGGGCUUUCUUCGACGGCAUAGUCUGUCUACACGGGUUCCCGAUGUCGAUCGUCAGUGAUCGGGACCCAAUCUUCAUGGGCCAUGUCUGGCGCGACCUCUUCAGGAUGGCGGGUGUCCAGCUCCGCCUGAGUAUGGCGUUCCAUCCUCAGAAUAACGGUCAGUCUGAGGUGGUUAACAAGGUCAUUGCCAUGUAUUUGCGUUGUGUGACAGGUGAUCGACCUCGCGCUUGGGUGGACUGGCUAUCUUGGGCGGAGUACUGCUACAACACUUAUUAUCACUCCACCCUGCGCGCGACGCCAUUUGAGGUGGUCUAUGGUCGACCACCCCCGCCUAUACUUCCGGUCGACCCGGAGACGGCUCGGACAGCAGUAGCGGGUGACCUUAUCUGCACCCGUGAUGAGAUGCUGGCUGAGGUCCGUCAGCGUCUCCUUCAGGCCCAGCAGACGGCCAAGCACUACUACGACGAUCAUCAUCGCGAGGCGGAGUUCGCAGUGGGUGACUGGGUGUGGCUGCGUCUUCUCCACCGCUCUACGCAGUCACAGGACCCGCGCGCAAAGCGCAAGCUUGGCCCUCGCUACGCCGGGCCCUUCCCUAUCAUGGAGCGCAUUGGGAAGGUGGCCUAUCGUCUUCAGCUUCCAGCCCGCGCCCGCAUCCACGACGUGUUCCAUGUGGGGCUGCUCAAACCUUUCCGUGGCGAGCCACCGGCGGCUCCUCCGACGCUUCCUCCAACCGCCGAUGGUCGCAUUCUUCCAGAGCCAGCAAAGGUGUUGCAGGCUCAGCUCCGUCGUGGCGUCUGGUUCAUCCUAAUUCAGUGGGCGGGCCUUCCGGAGGAAGAGGCGACUUGGGAGCAGCGUGAGGAUUUCCGUCAAAACUAUCCAGACUUUCAGCUCGAGGACGAGCUGUUUGCGCAGGCGGGGAGAGAUGUUAUGACCGGCCAGGUCUAUGGCCGCCGCAGGCCCAACAGGCAAGCUUAGGCCCGCAAGUUACCUUAGUUUUAUUCAGAUUAGGCAAGUUAUCUCAGGAUUGAUUCUUCUACAAGUUAUCUAGGAUAUAAAUAUAGAUUGUAAGACUCUUUUGGAUGGAAGCAAUAAAGACUAUUAUUAUCUUUUGUUGCCCAGCUCCUAGAGGAGCCGGAAACCCUAGCCGCCGCAACCUAGCUGCCACCGCCCUCAACCCAAGCCGCGACGGCGCCCUGCCGCCGGCGCGCCCGCUCCUCGCCGCGCCCACUUCCUCUUUGCCCCUACAACCUACGCAGUAGAGCCGGUAGGAACCCUAGUCCUACCACUAAUAUAUAUACAUGAUUGUUGCACCAUCACAAGAUUUCCAUUAUAUACAUGGGCAUAACUUUCUUUACUGUGAAUUAAUCGACACGAUGCUUGUGUUUUAAGGAAUGGCAAUGCUAAAUUCUACAGUGGUACACUCUACUCUGUCGAAUGUUUACAAACACCACAAAGCUAGAGAUCUAUUGUGGAAACCUUUCUUUCUUUUGUUUGUUAUAACUUCUUAGUGUAAAAAUAAAUAUGGCUUGUCCAUUACGAAACAAAUAUGUAAGAUUUAUUACUUUUCAAAGUUGAAUUGUUCCUGACAAUUACACAUGAGAGUGCAUAUAAUUCAGUUGUGCUGACUUGCUGUUUCUAAAAUGAUAAGCUGGAGCUGGAGUUACAUAUGAGAGUACAGAUAAUUAAGUUGUGCUCCUGACUUGAUUAACAAAAGCUGCAGAAGAAAGGGACAAAAUACCAAAAAGCUGAAAAUUUGAAGAAAGGUGGAAGUAGGGAACUACCCAACUUGAUUCAAGAUUACGAAGGGAAAAAGGGCAUUGAUUGAGCAGGAGAAAACAAUAAUGGGCCGAGGCAAGGAUAUAGUGCUCAGUUAGUAAAGAGAUAUGUGGGAAGUGGAGCAGCGGGAUGCAAAUGGAAUUUUUGUGACUCACUGAAGGUGAGCAAAACUUCAGAAAAGAAAUUGCAACAGAAGUAGAGCCUCAUCACCAAGAGAACAUAGGGAUUUUAAGUUUUUUGUAGCCUGCACCGGAGACUGUAGAGUUAAGUUUCUACAUCUCAGUGUACAAUUUAACUAUAUCAGGUUAUUUACUAUGUAGUAAAUAUUUGCUUUUGCCAUUGCUGAUCAUGUCCUUCUCUCUGUGCUUGGAAGCAUAAACUUACUUAGCGAUCCUUUUUUGUUAGGCUAAACUUACAUCCUUCUGCUAAUAGUUUAGUGAUCUAAUGAUUAUAAUGAUUAUUCAAAAGGGACAUUGCAUGUUCCUAGAUGCAUAGCCUUUCUUAUAUAUGUUUUCAUAACACUGGAUUUUUUUAGGGAUAACACUAGGAUUUUAGUUUUUUUGUUGAAUUCUGAAACUGAAAUCCGAAUAAACCAUAUCUUGAAAGGCCAGCAUAAUGGCACUUCAAAUAAAUGCUAAUCUACACUCACACUGCAGGCUGGUGCCCGUUCUUCUGGUGAUUUGGUCAAAGCUACUACUAAGCAAAGAUAUUUUGCAUGCUAUAAGAACAUGUAGGUUCAUAUCGGGCACCCAUACGAUCCUGCUAAGAAUUUUGAAUUACUUAGAUAUAUUAGCAACAACAUCGUUUAAAAUCCAAAUGAAUGGCAUACUCCCUGUUAAUUCAAAUGCAGAUACAAACUUUAAGCUUUUCUAAAUAAGGAAAUAUAUUUACAGUCCAAGUGUAGUAAUCUGGGAGUUUGAAAUUAUUUCCCCUUUUUAAAAAGCCAGAGACAUUGAAGUUAAUAUUCACAUACAUGGCAGGGAAGGAUUGAUCUCUCUGCUUAGCAAUGAAUUUGUAGCACCCGAUGAAAACAAAUAUUGUGCAGACCCUAUGGCGUCAUUGUGUUAGUAGGCCGUAUUGGCGUUGCAAUCUCCUCUUGGACUAACUAAUGCAUAGGUUAUAAAGCACAUCAAACCUUUUGUAGACCAACAAAUCCAACAUGCUAUGUAGAUCUUGUGUGUACGGAUUAAUCUGAUUGAUGACUGAUGGAAAGCUUCAGGACUUGUAUUCCCCCCUCACCCCAUAUCUGUAGUUUCCUAUGAGUCACUUUCAAAUCUGGAUAUUCUCCUAUAUAUUAACUACUGCAUUGGAGGAAAUUAAGUCACUUGCAAUCUACAAUUAAAGAAUAAUUAAGUGGGACCUUGAGAAACAAUAGUUUGCCAUGGUCUGCAAUGGGGCAGAGCCAAAGAGUUUGACCAGAAUAAAAGUCUGGACAACAAAAUUCAAUGGAGAGAGAUAUCCAUCUGUUACCCACAAAUGAUUAUUUUUUUGUUAGUGCCUCUUCUUCUUUCUUGCCCAUUAUUUAGUUAUAACGUGACAAAAUAAACAUGUUGAUUAUACCCGACUUGCACUGAACAUGAAAUUUUUGUUUAUGCACAAACAUGCGAGUUGUGUAGUACUGUAGGUUGACACUGCAUCGAAACAUAACACACAAUUACAUGUGCGUGUAUGAGGAGAAACUAUACCUGCAGCACACAUCCAUCUAUCUCGGUUUAUGGUGAACUGGCAAAUUUAUGGUAAUGAAGCAUGUAGCUGAGGUGUGAGACAAAUCUUCCGUAGAGUGUUAAUGUUGUUAGUAGUAAUUAACUUGUCUCCUAGGAGCUAACUGCAGCAACUUACCUUGAUUGUUAGAUACAGUAUAGCAUUAUUCAUCUUCAUCCAUGAUUGAUUCUUCUGUUUGCUGCAAUUCUUUGACAAUUCUUAGCAUCACACAACCAAAGGUGAGAAGCAAAAAUUUGAAGCACGGAACAAAAAAUUCACAAACCAAUGCAUUUAGUAACCAUCGUGGUUCUUACAGGUCCUUUCCUUUGCAAUCCAAAUUCCAGUUCUAUGACUUGAAAGGAAGGAUGAAGUCCAUGUCAUGAAAAUUUUAAUAUGUGGUCGCUGCCUCCUCCAGCCAUGGAUUUCAAAGGUACGCAGAUUCACCUACAACAUGCAUAUGGGAGAACUUGCAGAUCUGAAGGAAUCAAGCAUCUAGCUAAGGUGCUUGUAGCCACGAUCAGUGCUCCAUCGAGCAAUUUCUUAGGGCUGCACAGAUGCAACAACCUGGUAGAUAGGAUCAUCCUCUAUCAAAAAUAGCCAAAGGAAGAUGUCAACAUCAGAGAUCCCAUAUAGGCCAGGAUAAUGUCAAAAUAUCUUGGCAUGGGCACGUGGCUCAUAGCCUGAACUUGACACCGUUUACUCCAUGCUCGUGGUGGAGGCCUAGUCUCGACGGGGGCAUGGCAGUGGCGUGCGUUAGGAUUGGAUUCCGUCGAAGACCUAUGAUUGAUUUUCUAGCUGAGGCUGCGUGCGUGAGGGCUGGAGAGUCGGUUGUAGCCACGGGAUUCUGGCGGCGGCAGCGUGCGUGAAGGCAGGGGAGUCUGUAGCCCUAUUAUGUUUUUCUUCUUUCAACGAUGGACUCAGGUAAUGGCAUGACCCUGUAUAUUUUAUCUUCUUUUCAUCAUGGAGUCAAGGUUUCUAAAAAAAUUAUGGCAUUGCUGAAUCGUAGAGGCAGGUGAAAGCUAUUUUGACGCAUCAUAUGCUUUAGUAGGAGUUAUCUCUACCUCUCUAUCUCUACCUAAUCUCUACCUAAUAAUAAUAAAGCAAAUUGGGUUUCUGCUUGUCCGUCAUUAGCAUUUUUUCUAAAAAGGCCCUCCCUUUUUUAGUAUUUAACCCGCAGUAUAAUUUAAAGUCUGUUUCUUCCUGAGAUAAUGAUUCGUUUUUUGCAAAAAGGACCCCGGCACCACCACCACAGCCCCGCCUUAUCCACUGCCGGCAUUCACAAACGGGCAGCGGCGCGCUUGCCGCGGCGUCCGCUCCGCCCGAGCCCUGUAAUUGGGCGAGGCGUCGCGGCGGCGUUCCUGCACGCCUUGUCGGCCUUGGAGCUAGCCUUGGCGGGGGCGGGCCGAGGCGUCGCGGCGGAGGACGAUAAGCAGACGAGCACGCGCCGCCGGCGCGUUUGCCGUGGGCGUCCGCUACGCCCGAGCCCAGGAGUGGGGCGAGGGGUCGCGCCGGCGUUCCUACGCGCCUUGUCGCCCUUGAAGCUGGCCUUGGCGGACCGAGGCGUCGCGGCGGAGGACGACAAGGCGGCCGACGUGCUCUGUUGGGGCCACGCGUCGCGGCGCUCCGGCUCCAGCAGAUGACGGCAGAGAGCCAGGUGUGGCUUUGUGUCGCCAACAGCCACGAGGUCAUCGGCACCGGCCACCGUGCCAGGCUGGACCAGCUGCUGCAGCCCCCCUGCGCCGUCGCCGUCGCCGUGGCAGAAGAAGCGCGAGUUCCCCCUCGCUAUCGGAGGCUGGGUGUCGUUCUCCAGUGCAGAUUGUCUAAUUGAGUUUCUGAAAGCGUCGUCCACGUCUGCACUUCAUGGGUCCAUACACUGGGAACUCACGCCUGAGAACUUCCUGCUCACCAGAUUGGUUUCAGUUUCUCUGUCUCCAUCGAAGAAGGUCAGCCCUUUGCCUCGAACAGUUUCAUGAUUACACUCAUGACAUGAUUUACAGUACAGUAGUCUCAUGCGUUGAGCUCAUAAUACUGCAGUACGGACAUACAUUUUCCAAGCAUAAAUUAAUGCAGAAGUUAUUGCAACAGGAGGGCCUCUAAUUGUAAUUCAUAUACACAUUUCAGCUCAAUAACCAUAUAACGCAUCUUGCCCGAGCUUGAUACUUCCGACUAUCUCCAUGUCUUUCGGGUCAAAGUUAAGUUAGCUCUAUAUCCGAGCAGGCAUUUUAUUCUUUGGGAGCAAGCAAGAAUCAAUAUAUUCUCUCGCAAUAUUAUUUCCUCCUUCCCCUUGUCUUCCUAAUCCCCUGCAGAUGGCAUGACUAGCUAGGUUCAUAACAGUUGUUGUAACUAUCCGUCCGGUCAUGAAUCAACAAUUACAAUUGUUUUGACUUCUACGAUCAGUUCAGCCGCCUAUGUUGUACUGCCGCUGCCAUUUAAAGAUUUAAGUUGUCAGGUGGAUAUAGGUUCCAUUAGAUUGAAAGUAAUGAAAUUUUAUUUGCCAACCUGGCUGCACUUUGUGAUGCUUUAUUUAUGUAUAUACUUAAAGUUCAAAUGUGAUGUAUGCUUUACUCCUUAUUUGAUACUUGCAUUUGUCGCAAGCACCUUGCUGUUCUGAGUAAUGGUUGAUAUCUUACAUUUAGCCGAGAAGCUGAAAACUUACGAGAUGGAAAACCUUCUAGAUAUACCUAAAAAGACCUUGAAGAUAUCUUCUACUAGACUGGACGAGCUGAUUGACUGGCGAUGGGGAUGCAGCAGUGACCUGCAAUUCUUUCUGCUGUGGAUGGUUCAUUUUGAAAUCUUUUUUAUAUCUGAC
RNAcentral lists this long non-coding RNA (12396 nucleotides) under Triticum aestivum (bread wheat). RNAcentral describes it as "long non-coding RNA (TAES_LNC001010)". Lineage: Eukaryota; Viridiplantae; Streptophyta; Magnoliopsida; Poales; Poaceae. The record is from RNAcentral.